AGCUUCUAAUAUAGUAGGGAUAUGCAGACAUGGCCAUCCUCAUCACCUGCUCGCAGCCAUAGUUGAAAUAUUAUUCCAUUGGAAAAUUAGAUACCGCCAUCCCCUCUUUAUGGUCUCUACCACAGAGAAGUUCCAAUACAUGCAUAAUCAAUAGUAACCUCAAUUACACAAUUGUAAAAAACAUGCCCGGAAUUACAUCAAAAAAACUUGAAGGAAAAGGAACCCAAAGUAAGCAAGAAGACUUGUGAAGCAAUCCUACACACCAUGUAUUUAUGAAAUACACUUAUCUAUUCAGCUAGGAAAUACACUUAUCUAUCAGCUAGUUAGUAGAAUACAUUGGCGUCCUAUGCCAAUGUACUAUACAUGAAGAACAAAAGAAUGUAAUUUCAAGAAGGAAAAGAAUGCAUCAGAAUGGGAGUGAGAAACACAUUAAAAAAUUAGGAGCAAUACAAAACAUCAACAAUUGGUUCAUUGCAAUUCCCCAAAUUACUCGAACUAAGAAAGGUUCUUUCCGUUCCUCUGCUGAUUGCUUAUUCUCUGCAACAAUAGCCGCAACAUUCACUUCCUGUUGCACCCGAACGACCGAAAAUGAUGAAGAAAUAAAAUUGAAAAAUUAGAAAAGAUAAAAAUGAUGAAGAAUGUAGCAAUCAAAAUUCAAAAUGAAAGAAGAAGAUAAAGUUAAAAAUGAUAUAUUGGUGAGGAGAGUUCCGAAAGAGAAGAACAAAGGAGAAAAGGAAGAGAUCGAGAGAUUCGAAUAGAGCCUAC
This 765-nucleotide long non-coding RNA is filed under the name Lotus japonicus. RNAcentral describes it as "long non-coding RNA (LJAP_LNC000497)". Lineage: Eukaryota; Viridiplantae; Streptophyta; Magnoliopsida; Fabales; Fabaceae. The record is from RNAcentral.